This is an RNA transcript of Solanum dulcamara, 2586 nucleotides long. It is a transcript of the gene named sodium transporter HKT1-like, with no coding region annotated. Lineage: Eukaryota; Viridiplantae; Streptophyta; Magnoliopsida; Solanales; Solanaceae. The record is from RefSeq and is a predicted model, not a curated record. The transcript is spliced from 4 exons.
CUCCUUUUGAUACACUAACUGUUGUUGGGGUUAAUUUAAAGCUAACCCAUCAAGGGAUCUAGUACAGGAAACUCCACUACUUCACAAUUCUUACUAUAAAUUGAACCCUUGACUAUAGUAAAACUUAAAAGAGGCAGGCAAAUUGAUAAGCAAUGCCAACGAAGCCACUUUCAUUGUCUUUCUUUAAAAGUAUGAGUCUUAGGGUAAAACCAUUUUGGUUAGAAUUAGGAUAUUUCAUGAUCCUUUCAUUUUUAGGUUUCUUAGCUUUGAAUUACGUUUCAAAACCUAGAACUCUACCGCUAUUUCGUCCUCAAAACCUAGAUGUAUUUUUCACUUCUGUUUCUUCUAUCACAGUUUCUAGUAUGUCCACUGUUGAAAUGGAAGUUUUCUCAAAUGUCCAACUUGUUUUCAUGGCCAUCUUGAUGUUUCUUGGUGGGGAAGCUUUUACUUCUUUUCUUAGACUUCAACUCUUCAAGAAAGAAAACAAAGAUGACUCUUUUAGUAGCAAAGAUUAUGAGCUAGGAAAUGUAAUAAUAAACCCUCUCGAGGAUAGUCGUGAUCACGAUGAAAUUAUCAAGAUGAAAUCGAUAAGAUUGUUGAGUUACGUUGUCUUUGCAUAUAUUUUUGUUCUUCUUCUUCUUGGUUCUUCGUUAGUUUUUCUCUAUAUAACAAUCAUUCCAAGCGCGAAACAAAUCCUUAUAGAAAAAGGCCUUAACGUAAAUACUUUUUCAAUAUUUAUCACUGUUUCAACAUUUGCAAAUGGUGGUUUUGUCCCUACAAACGAAAACAUGAUUGUUUUCAAGAAAAAUCCAGGCCUUCUCCUCAUUCUUAUACCUCAAGUCCUUCUUGGAAACACUUUGUUUGCUCCUUGUUUACGCCUCGCUAUUUUGUUUUUAUGGAAAAUUACUAAGAGGCAUGAAUUUGUGUAUAUUUUGAAGAACUCGAAACGUGUUGGAUAUUCACAUAUUUUUCCAAGUUUUGAAACAAUUGCUAUUGCAAUUACUGUUGUGGGAUUAAUAGUAGUGCAAUUUGUAGUGUUUUAUUCAUUGGAAUGGAAUUCGGAAGCCACUGCUGGAUUGAGUAGUUAUGAAAAGAUUGUGGGAUCUUUGUUUGAGGUUGUGAAUACAAGGCAUACUGGUCUAUCUGUAUUUGAUCUUUCAACUUUAACUCCAGCAAUCUUAGUAUUGUUCACCAUAAUGAUGUAUGUAUCACCCUAUACUACUUUUUUGCCUGUUGACAAUUAUGAAGAGAAGUCAGAAAAAAUGAAGAUGAGAAAAGGGGGAAGCUUGAUGGAAUACAUAUCAUUCUCCCAACCUUCUUGUUUGGUCAUUUUUACCAUUCUUAUUUGUGUUGUGGAGAAAGACAAGAUGAAAUAUGAUCCACUGAACUUCAAUGUACUCAACAUUGUCUUUGAAGUCAUCAGUGCAUAUGGGAAUGUUGGAAUGUCAAUAGGCUAUAGUUGUGCAAGGCAAAUAAAACCAGAUGGCCAUUGCAAGGAUGCUACAUAUGGAUUUGCUGGAAAAUGGAGUAAUACGGGAAAGUUCAUUUUGAUAAUUCUCAUGUUCUUUGGAAAGAUGAAGAAGUACAAUCAAUUAAUCUGAAAGUUGGUUAACUUCCUUGUAUAUUGAAGUUCCUUCAUUUGAACUUUCCGUAUCUUUGGUUUUUAUAUGAGGGAGGAUGAAGAAGAGGUGCCACAACAGAACUGUAACAUGGCAUUCUCUGCUCAAAUGGGAAGGGGGAGAGGAAACUACUCUCGUGGAAAAGGAAACAACAACUUCAAUUUCAAAAAAAGACGCUUCAAACCUACUGCACAAGGAACAGGUUCUCAAAACACCCAAAGUUCCCAAAUGGAAAUAAGGAUAGGAAUAGUACUGAGUCAUGUCAAAUAUGUGGUAAAAAUAACCAUACUUCUCUUAAGAGUUUUUACAUAUGGGACUACUCUUAUCAAUCUGCAGAUGAACUACCACAAGCAUUGGUUGUUGUAAACCUACAGAAUGCAUCUGCUACUAAUGACACUCUGUAUGUAGAGUCAGGAGCAAGUAGUCAUGUGAAACAUAACUCAAGUAUUCUACCUGAUCUUAAACACUACAAUGGACCAGAUAAAAUCAUUGUUGGGAAUGUAUCACGACUAGACAUAACACAUGUUGGGAAUGCAACUAGAUCAGGGAUGAAAUUACAAGAAGUCCUUGUAGUCCCUAAGAUUACUAAGAAUCUACUCUCAGUUAGUAAACUUGCAAAGGAUAAUUAUUGCACUCUUGAAUUUGAUGAAACUGAUUUUGUUAUAAAGGAUAAGAAGACAAGGACACUAUUGGCCAAGGGAUAUAAAAGGAGUGGACUUUAUGCUUUGGAAGAUAAAAAUCUCUAUGUUUUUACUGCUGCACACGUUUGGAACACAUCAGAGAACGUGUGGCAUACUAGAUUAGGAAAACGUAGUUUGAAGUCAUUAAAAGUUUUGAAUAGUAAUAGUUGCAUCAAUGUUAGUAGUUGGAAUAGAAUGCCUUAUGUUCUAGUUGCCAGUUGGGCAAAAGUAGUAAACUUUCAUUUGGCUUGAGAAAUAAAAUUGAGAAGGAACAUUUAUUGAAAAUU